ACACGUCUACAUUAGAUACCCCGGUAGUCCCAGCCGUAAACUAUGCGCGUUAGGUGUAUCGGUGACCACGAGUCACCGAGGUGCCGAAGGGAAACCGUGAAACGUGCCGCCUGGGAAGUACGGUCGCAAGGCUGAAACUUAAAGGAAUCGGCGGGGAGCACCACAACGGGUGGAGCCUGCGGUUUAAUUGGACUCAACGCCGGGAAGCUCACCGGAUAAGACAGCGGAAUGAUUGCCGGGCUGAAGACUCUGCAUGACUAGCUG
This 264-nucleotide ribosomal RNA is filed under the name uncultured archaeon. RNAcentral's name for it is "partial 16S ribosomal RNA". It matches the Rfam family "Archaeal small subunit ribosomal RNA", at positions 717 to 982 of the family's 1478-position model. The record is from RNAcentral.